UACGUAGGGAGCAAGCGUUGUCCGGAAUCAUUGGGCGUAAAGCGCGCGUAGGCGGCCCGAUAAGUCCGUUGUGAAAGUCAAAGGCUCAACCUUUGAAUGCCGAUGGAUACUGUCGGGCUAGAGUCCGGAAGAGGCGAGUGGAAUUCCUGGUGUAGCGGUGGAAUGCGCAGAUAUCAGGAGGAACACCAAUAGCGAAGGCGGCACUCUGGGCCGGUACUGACGCUGAGGAGCGAAAGCGUGGGGAGCGAACAGG
RNAcentral lists this ribosomal RNA (253 nucleotides) under uncultured bacterium. RNAcentral describes it as "partial 16S ribosomal RNA". It matches the Rfam family "Bacterial small subunit ribosomal RNA", at positions 524 to 776 of the family's 1533-position model. The record is from RNAcentral.